AUGUGUCCUCCACUUGGUACACCAACAGAAAUGAACUACAGUAUCAGCGAUUCUUGGAGCGAUGAGGAACUUGUGCGAUUCUUGGCAGAGAGGAAGGCCGACGACUCCCUGCCAGAGAACGUACUUGUGGGCAUGGACCUUACUCUCAUUCAUCCACGGGAUUCCUCCCCUGGGAACAUAUGGUACCUGAACCAGUCAGAUGAUCAGCAGCCCUAUGGCAAUGGCGAGUCAGAUAUUAGAAAGGCAAAAGGUGGAUACUGGAAGUGCAUAGAUGUUCUCAGAAUACCAACAAGUAAAUCUACUGCUGGUGUGAAAUUUAGUCUGGAGUUUUAUGAAGGCGAAGCACCAUCUGGUAAGAGAACUCAGUGGUUGAUGCAUGAAUAUCAGGUAGAACAGAAUGAUGAUGCUAAUGUACCACAGGAGUACAAGUCUUUGUGUACAAUAUUCAUGCAGGGGAGCAAAAAGUUAAAUACUGAAGAUGAACUGCUAUCUCUGAGUACUAAUGCUCCUAAUGAUCACUUGGAAUCUUAUCUUCAAUAUCUUGCUGACAUGGAAGAGCAGAAUGUUGCGGUAAACUCAAAGAUUGUAUCUUCAAGCAAGCAAAAUAGCUCUUCCAGAGAAGGAAAAGACAUUUAUGAAGAUUAUAGUGCUGCAGAUGGCGUAGAUUUUGUGAAUGCUCUUGCUAAUGAGGACUACAUAGAAAUGAAAGAUCUAUUAAGCUCAGAUGGCUCUGCAUCGACUUCCGAAUUUUCAAGUAGACGGUCUGAAGAGUACUUUGACUCUGAUGCAUUACUGAGGGAGCUUUUGAAUGACCAAAACACAACUAGAGAAGUACAUCAGGACUGCAAUCAUAACAUAGCUGGACCUACUAAAUCUGAUUGCAUGGUUAUCAGUCCACCAGAACAAGGGUUUGUUCACAACCAUGAUAAUGGUGCCAUGGUGGCUGGAACAUCACUGGAAAAGGCAGUGUCAGAUUCUGAAAGAGAUCAACAUUCGAGCGAGCAGUGUCUGGAUCACCAUCCUCCCGCGUCUUCCUGUUCUCAGAACAGCCAUGUAGAACAAAGCCAUUCAAAUAGUUCUGGCAGCUCGCAUGGAAGCACCACGUCUCCCCAGAGAAGUCGAUCUAUCGGUAAACUUGGAAAGAUAGGAAAGAAGUACUGCUGCUUGGGAUCAUUCUAG
RNAcentral lists this ribosomal RNA (1179 nucleotides) under Triticum aestivum (bread wheat). Its description in RNAcentral is "partial small subunit ribosomal RNA". The record is from RNAcentral. Lineage: Eukaryota; Viridiplantae; Streptophyta; Magnoliopsida; Poales; Poaceae.